This 206-nucleotide long non-coding RNA is filed under the name Mytilus galloprovincialis (Mediterranean mussel). Lineage: Eukaryota; Metazoa; Mollusca; Bivalvia; Mytilida; Mytilidae. The record is from RNAcentral.
UUGAGUUUUGAAGUUCUUGCUGUAAAAGGAGGGGGGGUUUCAAUAAGUUUGGGGCCAACAAAGGAGCCCAAAUAAGCAUUGUUGUAGUUUCCAGUCAAUAACUUGUGUUUAAGAGUAUAAAUCUCUCUGAAAUUAUACCACAGGUUUCCAUACUACAAAGGGAUGGUUAUGGGGAUUAUGACUCAAAUCAUUUAGCAAAUAGGGGC